UCAUCUGGGAUGGUGGAUGGCGUGGUGGGCUGCAGGACAGCAGGAAAGGGGUGUGGGCCGAAAGGAACAGUGGCCCCGUGUGUGUGUGUGUGUGUGUGUGUGUGUGUGUGUGUGUGUGUGUGUGUGGGCAGGGGUGAGAGUGUGUCAAAUGCCCUCUCUGUGUCUAGGCCUUGAUUCUACUUGAGCAGGUAAAUUAUGUGGCCCCUGGCCCACAGGGCCAUCCUGAAAUGAAAACCCAAA
This 240-nucleotide non-coding RNA is filed under the name Rattus norvegicus (Norway rat). The record is from Rfam by way of RNAcentral. Lineage: Eukaryota; Metazoa; Chordata; Mammalia; Rodentia; Muridae.